AAAACUUUCAUAAUCUUAAAAUGCCUUAAUACCUCCCAAAAUAUCCCUAAACAACCCAAAAUAGCCUCACAAAUUCUAAAAUUCUAAAUCCUCAUGGACUCUAAAGAUGAAUCCUUCAUCGCGGAAAAAGUCAGUUCCUAAUCCCCAAGGUCAUACUGUUUUCCUAAUUGGGUCACAGGUUGACAGUUCAAGCGCAAAUCAACCAUGAGUUGACCAUAUAAUCUAAGAUUGCAAGUCCCGGAACCCCUCCCCCUUUCUCAACCCACUCUUCCAAGAUAUCGGUCCCCCAUCCCUCCAUCUAAAAAUCCCACGCCCAUCUGAGAUUCCUAAGCUAAGCAAACAUUUGUCACCAUCUUAAACACCACUCACCUUAAUCCUUCCAUCUAAAAUCCCUAAUCCCUUCUUCCUUUGUCUCAAACCCUAUUGACCUCCUACCUUUUACAAGGGACUCUAAUCGCAUGACCAAAUGAUCCUACAAGAAAGAAUUUGGUGACAGCCAAGCAUCGAGCUAUUGGAGUCACGCUCCAAAGAAAGAGAGGGUCAAGAAGAAAACCAUAUUGUAGUUCAGCCCACCACAUUGGUUCCCAGCCUCUCCUCACCUCCACUUCUUUUAUGACACAUCAGCCCAAGCAAAGGAAGAUAGAGCGGAGAAAACCCCAAAAGAAAGAUCGAGAUUAUUUUUUUUUCAAUUUCUUUUGUUAAGUAGUCAAAAUGUCCCGGGCCAGAACCAAUUUGACUUCCCAGUUCAAAUGACUGAGCUGUUUGACCCACCAGGUCAAAUGGUUUUUUGGGAAUUACGUGUUUUUAUGCG
RNAcentral lists this long non-coding RNA (811 nucleotides) under Phoenix dactylifera (date palm). RNAcentral describes it as "long non-coding RNA (PDAC_LNC018000)". The record is from RNAcentral. Lineage: Eukaryota; Viridiplantae; Streptophyta; Magnoliopsida; Arecales; Arecaceae.